RNAcentral lists this transfer RNA (77 nucleotides) under Tenericutes bacterium ADurb.Bin140. Its description in RNAcentral is "tRNA-Arg". It matches the Rfam family "tRNA". Rfam says of the family: Transfer RNA (tRNA) molecules are approximately 80 nucleotides in length. Their secondary structure includes four short double-helical elements and three loops (D, anti-codon, and T loops). The record is from RNAcentral. Lineage: Bacteria; Bacillati; Mycoplasmatota. RNAcentral also lists the same sequence under 2 other names.
GCGCCCGUAGUUCAAUUGGAUAGAAUACUUGACUACGGAUCAAGGGGUUGGGGGUUCAAAUCCUCUCGGGCGUGCCA